AGCCAGCAUGGCAUAGUGAUUUGAGUGUUGGACUACGACUCUGGAGACCAGGGUUUGAUUCCCAGCUUGGCUA
This 73-nucleotide transfer RNA is filed under the name Phrynosoma platyrhinos (Desert horned lizard). Its description in RNAcentral is "tRNA-OTHER". The record is from RNAcentral. Lineage: Eukaryota; Metazoa; Chordata; Lepidosauria; Squamata; Phrynosomatidae.